AAAGUCUGGCCUGCCCUAUGAUUUAUUAUUAAAUGGCCGCGAUAUUUUGAUCGUGCAAAGGUAGCAUAAUAAUUAGUUUUUUAAUUGGGAACUGGUAUGAAUGGUCGCACGAGAAAAAGACUGUCUCAAUUUAAUUUAAAUUAGAAUUUUAUUUUUAAGUUAAAAAGCUUAAAUAUUUUUAAAAGACGAGAAGACCCUAUAGAGUUUUAUAUAAUUUUAUAUUUUUAAAAAUUAAAGAAUUUUAGAUUUAAUUAUAUAGAAUUGUAUUUAGUUGGGGUGACUAAAAAAUUUAAUUAACUUUUUUUAUAUAUUUAACAUUGAUUUAUGAAUAAGUGAUCCA
This 340-nucleotide ribosomal RNA is filed under the name Xinidium dewitzi. RNAcentral describes it as "partial 16S ribosomal RNA". Lineage: Eukaryota; Metazoa; Arthropoda; Insecta; Coleoptera; Scarabaeidae. The record is from RNAcentral.